AAGCAUAUGACUAAGCGGAGGAAAAGAAACUAACCAGGAUUCCCCCAGUAACGGCGAGUGAAGCGGGAAGAGCUCACCUUGAGAAUCCGGCCUUCGGGCCCGAGUUGUAGUCUGGAGAGGCGAGGCCUGCCGCUGUCCGCGGCGAAGUCUGAUUGGAAAUGAGCAUCAUGGAGGGUGAUAAUCCCGUUCAGGCCGCGGUAUCAACCAGCGCGCGCAAGGCCCGUUUUCGGCGAGUCGAGUUGCUUGGGAUUGCAGCUCAAAGUGGGUGGUAAACCCCACCCAAAGCUAAACACGGGGGGGAGACCGAUAGCGAACAAGUACCGUGAGGGAAAGAUGCAAAGAACUUUGAAAAGAGAGUUAAAGAGUGCCUGAAAUUGCUGAGAGGGAAGCGAAGGAAAGUAGUGCCGGUUGCGGGUGACCUUUUCGAGUUCCCUCCGGGGGUUCGGAUAUGUCGCCCGCCUUUGUCAGGGGAGUUAGUGAGGCUUUGCGGGAUGAUCGGGGCCGGAAGGUAGCCCUCCUCGGAGGGCGGAUGAACGGCCCUUUGUUAUGCGUCGCGGGCCAGGUGACACUCGUCGUUCUGGCGAUAAAUGCUUUUCUUUUCCCCGUCUUGA
This 611-nucleotide ribosomal RNA is filed under the name Distromium decumbens. Its description in RNAcentral is "LSU rRNA". It matches the Rfam family "Eukaryotic large subunit ribosomal RNA", at positions 36 to 657 of the family's 3401-position model. The record is from RNAcentral. Lineage: Eukaryota; Phaeophyceae; Dictyotales; Dictyotaceae.